UUCGGAUUGUAGUCUGCAACCCGACUACAUGAAGCUGGAAUCGCUAGUAAUCGCGAAUCAGAAUGUCGCGGUGAAUACGUUCCCGGGUCUUGUACACACCGCCCGUCACACCAUGGGAGUCGGAAAUGCCCGAAGUCAGUGACCCAACCGUAAGGAGGGAGCUGCCGAAGGUGGAGCCGGUAACUGGGGUGAAGUCGUAACAAGGUACC
RNAcentral lists this ribosomal RNA (209 nucleotides) under uncultured bacterium. RNAcentral's name for it is "partial 16S ribosomal RNA". It matches the Rfam family "Bacterial small subunit ribosomal RNA", at positions 1292 to 1500 of the family's 1533-position model. The record is from RNAcentral.